Molecule: long non-coding RNA, 1330 nt
Filed under: Physcomitrium patens
Lineage: Eukaryota; Viridiplantae; Streptophyta; Bryopsida; Funariales; Funariaceae
Description: long non-coding RNA (PPAT_LNC007438)
Source: RNAcentral
AAAAACAUGUUCCUUCACAUACUAUUCGAUUGUAAUGUACAGGCACUCAAAGACAGGCUGCACGCGAAUUAGUUAAAAUGAAACAUCUCAAUCUAUUACGGUUCACUGCUUAACAAUGCAAAACCGCAUUCAGCCUACUUGGAUACAUCCAUCGCAAUUCAGAAGCGAAACCCAUCAUCUAAGCUCAACACGUCUCAAACGUCAUCGGAUAGUUGAUCGCUCAAGCAGACGAUAUUUCCAAAUUUUCCAAGUAGAGUGGGUUGUGGCUACUGUGAACAGUGCAGAUUCACAUGGCUGUCAGUGUUAGGAGAGCUCUAAGUGGAGUAACUUCGAUGUCAAAAAUAACCGGUUAAAGUUGAUGAUCGUUAAACUAUUUUAACAGAUGCAUACGUUGGCAAUUCGGAACAAUCGAGAAAAGCGGAACCCUACGCAGCCAAGAACCGAUAGAUGUACAUCUGAAAAGGAACGACUACAAUCGUAGUCAAGUGUGUACACUAUCUAAAACGAUUCAUACACUCACAUUUCAGAACAUUUCCAUCAUUACCACUGAAGGUUUAACAAGCGUUGGGGUGCCCUCAAAUGACAGAAUCAAACUUCAUUCCAAACGGUCUAAACACUCACAACGCACGUUAAGGAAAUAGUGCCUCUGAUUAGCAUCUACAUAUGAUGUAUCCACCAGGCCCACUUAAGCCUCGGCCUUCUGGUACACGUAGGUCAGACCACACUUCCCACAGUAGUGUCGGUCGAAAUGGUUCGCCAUGAACGUACCCGCCCCGCAAUCAGGGUUAGGGCACUCCUUCCGCAGCCGCUGCACCUUACCGGAGUCAUCCACUUUGUAAAACUGCAACACAGCGAGCUUCACUUUCUUCUUCUUGUGUUUCAGUUUCUUCGGCUUCGUGUAGGUUUUUUUCUUCCUCUUCUUCGCUCCACCUCGCAGGCGAAGCACCAGGUGCAGGGUCGACUCCUUCUGGAUGUUGUAGUCAGCCAGGGUACGUCCAUCCUCGAGCUGCUUUCCGGCGAAGAUCAACCGCUGCUGGUCGGGGGGAAUUCCCUCCUUGUCCUGGAUUUUCGUCUUCACAUUGUCGAUGGUAUCAGAAGACUCCACCUCGAGGGUGAUAGUCUUGCCCGUCACUGAAUAAAUCACAGAAACACGAGCGCUCGCAUCAGCGCCGCAAUCUCAACCAUAUACACGGAUGUCAGAGUUCACUCAAGAAACAAAACAAAUAAAAUACAACGCAGUAGCCAAGUUGAUCAAAAUAAUCGACAAACAAUCAACUCACGGGUCUUCACGAAGAUCUGCAUGGCUGCAGAUCGGCACGCCCCGCUCCGC